CUCCGAGACAAGCGGUGCUGUUUGCGAUGUCUUUCUGCAAAAACCAGUCUCCGAAGACCUCGGGCUGACAGGGCCACUUUGAUGGGACUGAGCAUGAAAGCACAGACAAUAGGACUCACAGGAUUUUUAUAUCUCGCUGCAAGCAAGCCUCCAGCAAGCCUCCACAUGGAACCAAUAAUGAAUGCACUAUUGUUAUUAUGCAGAAGUUAAACAAGG
This is a long non-coding RNA of Osmerus eperlanus (European smelt), 216 nucleotides long. RefSeq lists it as uncharacterized. The transcript has 3 exons. The record is from RefSeq and is a predicted model, not a curated record. NCBI's taxonomy places the organism in Eukaryota, Metazoa, Chordata, Actinopteri, Osmeriformes, Osmeridae.